UACGGGGGGGGUUAAGCGUUGUUCGGAAUUACUGGGCGUAAAGGGCUCGUAGGCGGCCAACUAAGUCAGACGUGAAAUCCCUCGGCUUAACCGGGGAACUGCAUCUGAUACUGGAUGGCUUGAGUUCGGGAGAGGGAUGCGGAAUUCCAGGUGUAGCGGUGAAAUGCGUAGAUAUCUGGAGGAACACCGGUGGCGAAGGCGGCAUCCUGGACCGACACUGACGCUGAGGAGCGAAAGCCAGGGGAGCAAACGGG
Molecule: ribosomal RNA, 254 nt
Filed under: uncultured bacterium
Lineage: Bacteria
Description: partial 16S ribosomal RNA
Rfam family: Bacterial small subunit ribosomal RNA
Source: RNAcentral